This 217-nucleotide ribosomal RNA is filed under the name Campeiostachys nutans. RNAcentral's name for it is "Elymus nutans partial small subunit ribosomal RNA". It matches the Rfam family "Eukaryotic small subunit ribosomal RNA", at positions 644 to 864 of the family's 1831-position model. The record is from RNAcentral. Lineage: Eukaryota; Viridiplantae; Streptophyta; Magnoliopsida; Poales; Poaceae.
GGGUUAGUAGGUUGGUCAUGCCUCUGGUAUGUACUGGUCUCACUGAUUCCUCCUUCCUGAUGAACCGUAACGCCAUUAAUUUGGUGUUGCGGGGAAUUUGGACUGUUACUUUGAAAAAAUUAGAGUGUUUAAAGCAGGCCAAUUGCUUGAAUACAUUAGCAUGGAAUAAUGGAAUAGGACGUUCGAUCCUAUUUUGUUGGUUUCUAGGAUUGUCGUA